GAUGAAGAACGUAGCGAAAUGCGAUACUUGGUGUGAAUUGCAGAAUCCCGUGAACCAUCGAGUCUUUGAACGCAAGUUGCGCCCGAAGCCUUUUGGCCGAGGGCACGUCUGCCUGGGCGUCACGCAUCGCGUCGCCCCCCACAAUUCUCCGUAAAAGGAACAUGUGUUUUGGGGGCGGAUAUUGGUCUCCCGUGCUCAUGGCGUGGUUGGCCGAAAUAGGAGUCCUUUCGAUGGACGCACGAACUAGUGGUGGUCGUAAAAACCCUCGUCUUUUGUUUCGUGCUGUUGCUCGCAAGGUAAACUCUUUAAAAACCCCAAUGUGUCGUCUCUUGACGACGCUUCGACCGCGACCCCAGGUCAGGCGGGACUACCCGCUGAGUUUAAGCAUAUCAAUAAGCGGAGGA
RNAcentral lists this unclassified non-coding RNA (404 nucleotides) under soil metagenome. RNAcentral's name for it is "partial contains 5.8S ribosomal RNA, internal transcribed spacer 2, and large subunit ribosomal RNA". The stretch from base 1 to 122 matches the Rfam family "5.8S ribosomal RNA", at positions 35 to 154 of the family's 154-position model. The record is from RNAcentral.